RNAcentral lists this ribosomal RNA (524 nucleotides) under uncultured bacterium. Its description in RNAcentral is "bacterial SSU rRNA". It matches the Rfam family "Bacterial small subunit ribosomal RNA", at positions 24 to 518 of the family's 1533-position model. The record is from RNAcentral.
UCAGGACGAACGCUGGCGGCGUGCCUAAUACAUGCAAGUCGAACGGUCUUUCUAUGGAAGUUUGCUUCCAACUGAAAAGAUAGUGGGCGAACGGGUGAGUAACACGUGGGUAACCUGCCCAUAAGAGGGGGAUAACAUCCGGAAACGGGUGCUAAUACCGCAUAGUUUUCUUGAUCGCAUGAUCGGGAAAGGAAAGACGGCCUUUGUGCUGUCGCUUAUGGAUGGACCCGCGGCGUAUUAGUUAGUUGGUGAGGUAACGGCUCACCAAGACGAUGAUACGUAGCCGACCUGAGAGGGUGAUCGGCCACAUUGGGACUGAGACACGGCCCAAACUCCUACGGGAGGCAGCAGUAGGGAAUCUUCCGCAAUGGACGAAAGUCUGACGGAGCAACGCCGCGUGAGUGAAGAAAAGGUUUUCGGAUCGUAAAACUCUGUUGUCAGAGAAGAACAAGUUGGAGAGUAACUGCUCCAGCCUUGACGGUAUCUGACCAGAAAGCCACGGCUAACUACGUGCCAGCCGCUGC